Pelobates cultripes (western spadefoot toad) is the source of this 247-nucleotide non-coding RNA. NCBI's taxonomy places the organism in Eukaryota, Metazoa, Chordata, Amphibia, Anura, Pelobatidae. The record is from the annotation of a GenBank genome assembly.
GAUCCCUUAGUUGCCUGCAGCAUAUUCAUCCAACGAUCUUCCCCGCACAUCCUCUCCCCCCCCCCUGCCGGUGAGGGAUAUCCCGGCAACCACAAUCUGUGAGGCAGAUACAAAAUACUGAAGCCGUCUCACCUGCACCACCGGACCAGCACAGUUCAUCAUGGUGGACGCCACGUGCUGCUCCACGCUCAGCCCUUCGCUGCCAUAUCUUGCUGACAGGCUGGACCGCCUGCUCACAGAAUUCUGG